RNAcentral lists this ribosomal RNA (240 nucleotides) under uncultured Glomeromycotina. RNAcentral describes it as "partial 18S ribosomal RNA". The stretch from base 38 to 240 matches the Rfam family "Eukaryotic small subunit ribosomal RNA", at positions 684 to 888 of the family's 1831-position model. The record is from RNAcentral. Lineage: Eukaryota; Fungi; Glomeromycota.
GAUUACGUAGGUUGGUCAUGCCUCUGGUAUGUACUGGUCUCACUGAUUCCUCCUUCCUUAUGAACCGUAAUGCCAUUAAUUUGGUGUUGCGGGGAAUUUGGACUGUUACUUUGAAAAAAUUAGAGUGUUUAAAGCAAGCUAACGCUUGAAUACAUUAGCAUGGAAUAAUGAAAUAGGACGUUCGAUCUUAUUUUGUUGGUUUCUAGGAUUGACGUAAUGAUUAAUAGGGAUAGUUGGGGG